RNAcentral lists this long non-coding RNA (413 nucleotides) under Sinocyclocheilus rhinocerous. Its description in RNAcentral is "lncRNA (ENSSRHG00000026307.1)". The record is from RNAcentral. Lineage: Eukaryota; Metazoa; Chordata; Actinopteri; Cypriniformes; Cyprinidae.
CGCGCAUGCGCGUCAGCUUUCACCCUGCAGCAACACUUCUAAGCGAAAUAUUGAUAUGGUGCUAAUUAAUGGACACUUUCAUAGAUCUCUGCCAAUCAUUCGGUGUGCCCCUCUGGGUGGGGCCGUUGCUCCACGCGGCCUCCAGGCUGAAGACGACAGACCGGAUAAAACGAAGAAAAGUUUACCGUUUAAUCCAGCGUCAGUUAGUAAGAGUCACUUUGUAUUUUAUUAUCAUUUUUUCUUUAUUUUGGCUGAUCUUAACGCAAAUGUUGACAGCUGAACAGGAUCGGCUGUAGCACACGUUACAAACCCACUUACGUGUACCCAGCUGAGCUCAAAGAGAUGGUCCGAGCAGCCUUUCCAAACGACAUCUGUGACUAUGACGACCCCUGUCACGAAAAUGUGAGAUAUAU